Heterocephalus glaber (naked mole-rat) is the source of this 2874-nucleotide long non-coding RNA. NCBI's taxonomy places the organism in Eukaryota, Metazoa, Chordata, Mammalia, Rodentia, Bathyergidae. The record is from Ensembl.
UUGACCCUCAGGCAUGAAGUCUGAUUCCUAUGUCAUGCUUCUUGGCAUUUUGUCUUAGAAUUUCUAGUUGUUGUGAUAAGGAGAAGUUUUAGAUAACUUAGUAGAUUGAAUAUUAAGAUAGUUGUAGAAGCAAAAAUAAGAUUUGCUCGUCCUGUAACUCUCAUUGCUUAAGGUAAUCUGACUCUUUAACUAGUAACUUCAUUAACCUAACAGAGUUGCAAUGGGUGGCUGAAUUUACAAUGUAUAUGUGCCUAUCUUGUGUCUGUGACUUGUAAAUAGGAACUGGAAUUGUAUUUACACAUCAAAGACCACUAGGGAUGAGAUAAUGGCUAAAAAGGAUAUAAAAAGUUCCCACCCACUUGCAAGUAGAACUUUUAUUAUUUUAUCCGAAUUCUGUGUCUCCAUGUAUUUCUUUCUGAGAUUUCUGAAAUAUUUGGUUCCCUGACCGGGAAUCGGGAAUGAAAUAUCCCUUUUGAGCAUUAGCCUGAAUCCCACUGGAGGGAGUGGCUCUCCAUCUCCUCAAGAGGAAAGGCACACCCCUGGGACUAAUUUCCUAGGCUCCCCAACAGGACACACUUCCUGGCUGAGAUCACCCGAACCCAGGACGACAGAAGGAGGGCUGCUGCUGUUGGUGUCUCAUCUGUCUCUUUCCUUUGCUGGAUGGGAGCAGCUUCGUGGAAGAUGGAGUUUGUCAUGCUGGAUAUGAGGUAACCACAAAGAAUGAGGUGAUCCUAGCCGGAGCCCCUUCCUAGUUGGCACAGCAUGCUGAGCUCUGGGCACUCAUACAGGCACUCCGAUGGGCAAAGGGUAAAAAGAAACGAUUGAGGACAUUCACCAGCCAGACAGUCACAGAGUUCAUCAUGGCAGGGAACCAGCCAGUACGGCAAAAGGAAGAGGUCCCCACUUGCCACUGACCUCAUCAGAUCCAGGUCUAGCCCCGAUCUUCGCCCCUUGUCAGCAGAAAGCAGCUCCAAAAAAAGAGACCUUCGCCCAACUAUCAUAAAACAAAAGCCUGGAAUGAUAGGUCUCCCACCACCUCAGCAGCUAUUAAAUAUAGUAGCUGCCCUCUUCCUAUGGUGCCUUGCCCCCUCCCCUGUGUGACAUCAUGCCAAGAUGGUUGCUCCCACCAAAGAACAAACCCUUCUUCCCAGCAUGCCCCUGUUCCCACCUAGACAGUAACCUAAUACUCGCUCACCUCCUACCACCUAGUGACAUCACCGGCUCCUCCAUUCCCUAGUCACUACCUCAUUCAACCCUGCCUCAGCCCCUACAAGCCCCACCCCAGUCUCUAUAAAAGACUCUCCCUGCCCCAGCCAUAUUGCUUUUGUCUCUCCUUUGUUCAGAGACAGCCCGGCAGAUCUAUUCCCCUAAUAAAGGCUUGUUGUGGCCUGGUCUGGUCUUGGUCUUCGGCCCUUUUACCUGACAGUGAGUAUGGGGUAUCCUUUUAGGUUUUAGGUACAAAAUGAGACCCUAUCUCAAAAAAACAAAAAAGAGAAACAUAUGUACCACUCCCAUUUAUGGGUUGGGACCCUGGUAUCUAGUAGUUCUUUGUUUUUUUACCUGUAAUGCUGCUACUAAAUGGACUUUCCCCCUAGAGUCCUUAGUACUCUUCUGCUUUUGCUCUGUCACUGCUGCACACAUUAAUGUAUUUUGUAAUCCAUAAUUUUUAUUGUCAAUGAUGUUGUCUGUAUUGUUGACUACCUUGUAUAGAGUUUUCUCUUUACUAACAGAAGACCUAGAGGAAAGAACAAACCCAUUUGUGUAUUUUUCUUGGUUCUUCCCUUCUCUUCCUCCAUGACUAGCCCUGUACCAAAUCCUUGCCAUAUCUGACUAGAAGGCUGUCCUCAACUUGAGGCAACUUAGUGGGCCACCACUAUUUCCCUAGCCUGUCAUACCUCCAGAAGUGCUGACUCUUUUAAUAGGCCUCAGAUGGGACCACAGUGGUAGGUUUUCUCCUAAGACACCAGGGAGCUCUUCCUUUGAUUCAGAUAGCAACUAUGGAUAUCUCAGACCCUGGAUUGCUUUUUAUUUUAUUGUACUGGGAACUGAACUCAGGACCUUGCACUUGCCAGGCAAGCGUGGCACCACUGAGCUACAUCCUUAGUCCUGGAUUGCUUUUAAUCACAGCUAAAAAUCUAUCUAAUUUAGGUCCUUUUGUACAGAUGACGAUUUUCAGGCAGUUUAUUCUCUUAAGCACAGAGACUUUGCAAGUGCUAGAAAGAGAGUUUGUCUUCCCUGUUUCAAACCAUAAAGACUUCAAUACUCUGAUUUCCUAUGAGGGAGAAGCUGAGCUGGACCUAGAUGUAACAUGGUCCCAAAGACUUGACUCAGAAACAGUUUCAAUUAAGUGUUCUUAAGUCACCUUCUGUUUAUGUCUCAAGUCUACAAAAAAAAUGUGUGGGUUUCAUGCCCUUUAAUUAUUUGGGGAAAAAAACUUCCAUAGAAAUAUAAGAUACAUAUUUUAUGAGCAACUUGGGGUUUUUUAAUAUGUAAAUCCUACUAAAGACUAUGGUUUAUUUUUUGUGUACUGCUGGAUUGCAUAACAUACAGAAAACUCUCUGGCGUUUUACUUCACAAGAAAACAAGAGACAAUGUGAUUCUAGAAGUAGCAGAGGAAGUAGGGAUACAUUAAAUCAGUCGAGCUAAGGCCACGUAACUUCAGAGGUGAACAGCAAAAGAUCUGAGGGCUGCACCUCCAAGGGAUGAAACGACUCAGCCUCCUGCCUACUACUCUCCCACCACAAGAUGGCAGGAUUCCCCUUGCCCGAAAUCUUCCAUAAAAGGAUAAGUGAUUUCCAGAGUGUGUAUCUUCUUUUGUGCUUAAUAAUGGUGUCAGACUGUCUUGUGUAUGACAUCAUCUAUGUUUCUAGGAAC